This 22-nucleotide small nuclear RNA is filed under the name Arabidopsis thaliana (thale cress). Its description in RNAcentral is "snRNA_09049". The record is from RNAcentral. Lineage: Eukaryota; Viridiplantae; Streptophyta; Magnoliopsida; Brassicales; Brassicaceae.
AGACUCAAAUUCGUGAAUCUGA